AACAGGAGGCUGAGCAGCUGCUGAGCUCUGUCCAGGUGGCACUUAAUAAAACUGAGGACCUCAACUUCAUGAAGGACACAGCAGAAGUGAAAAUAUUGCUGAACAGAUCAGAGGUCUACACAACCGGGAAUCCCCCCUCUUCCCAAUAAGGG
Long non-coding RNA from Brienomyrus brachyistius, 152 nucleotides. RefSeq lists it as uncharacterized. The record is from RefSeq and is a predicted model, not a curated record. Lineage: Eukaryota; Metazoa; Chordata; Actinopteri; Osteoglossiformes; Mormyridae. The transcript has 3 exons.